UCUGUGAUGCCCCUUCAGUGGAUGUCAUUCUCUGACUGACAAGAGAAUGGCUGGCACUAUUACCAUGGCAACCAAUAACAGCCCACCCAAAGACCCUUCUACUGACAGAAAAGAUGGAGCACAAACCAGAACUCAGGAACUCCACCUCCACAAAUGACAACCAGAGCCAGAGGUCCCUGAACUGCAUGGCUAGAAAAUUACAUGCCAUGCACAUCUGCAGCAGCAAGGAACAUAAGGCAUUCUAGGGGAGAUUUAUUGCGUUCCUUCCCUCCUCCUUUUGGAAGGUUUCUGGAUGCCGUUCCCUGUGUAUAGCAUGUGCCUCCGGCUUAUCACUACGAAGAAAGAAAGGCAAGAGAGGGAAAUUGUCCUCAUAUGGGAGAACAGCAACAGCAGCAGCAGCAGCAACAGCAACAACAACAACAACAACAACAACAGCAACAGCAACAGCAAAAGCAGUGAACUUAACCCCAUGAGCACUUAGGAGAGGAAUGUGAGUCCACUCAUGAAGGCAGAGCACCUGACCUACAUGCUCCCCAGAGGGCCCCAGCUCCCAGCACUGCAGGUUAGGGAAUAUGGUUUCUAGCCUGGCAAUUUAGGAAAGGGCUGGACAUUUAAACCAUAACACCUACCUGGCCUGUUGGUCAGGACGGUGGUGCAGGAUUCUUUCUGACACCAGAACCCUGAAGCCCAGGUAUGAUUUUCCGGUCAUAUCCUGGCCAUCCACCAGAUGUGUGGCACUACUUGUUAUCGCUGUGUUAUUGCUGACACUUUGAGUACUGUUUUUGCUGCCAAAGCCUAACCCUUACAGAUAGGGCAUCCCAGAGAGGGACUGUGGCUCACCGCUUUUCACACACCUGGCUUUUUGUGCCAAAAGCAAGAUUAGAACCUGUGGCCCUGUCCUCUGCCCUACAGGAGUUAUCCCAAGAUUUUCACACACAUGUGAAAGACACCAUUUGGUUGUAGGUCUUGC
Mus musculus (house mouse) is the source of this 970-nucleotide long non-coding RNA. RefSeq annotates it as predicted gene, 54070. NCBI's taxonomy places the organism in Eukaryota, Metazoa, Chordata, Mammalia, Rodentia, Muridae. The record is from RefSeq and is a predicted model, not a curated record. The transcript is spliced from 3 exons.